CUUAGGGCUAAGAUAGAGCAGCCAAUGAAGAACCUUGCCUCCAGGGCAGAGAUCAGUGUUUUUUGGUGAGAGUUCUCCGUGAACAGCAGUGAAAUUGCUCUGGUGGCAUGGUGGGGAACAUGCUGGAAAGUUUUCUUUUAAGGUGCUAGGAAAAUCUGUUCAUGGGGAGGUGUCUUGCUGGAGACACUGCUCUAUGAAACUGCCUGGGAGGUGCCAUGGGAAGCUGCUGGAUGCUGCUGGCCGCCAUGCACUGCAGGAGCCCGAUGCCAGCAAAGGUGUGCACCACAGGAGCUGGCAAUACAGGAGCUACCUGUGCUGCAGGAACCAGCCCAGAGGCCCCACAGAACUGACUGGGGAUAGGAAUGGAGAAGAAGGGACAAUUGCUUUCCCCAAAAUGGUUUCUUCAGGACAGAACUUAUUAAGCACUCUUACCUACUAUCACCCUAAUGGACACAGGGACACAAGAUACAUGGCCCAGAUGCAGCACUGUCUACUCUAGCUGUCAGCUCCUUCUCGGACUGCCUCAGCUGCAGAGAACUAACCCUUCGAGGAUCACACCCUUCUCAGAACAACUUAUAUCUCCUCUGGUGACUGACAGAUGUAAGGAUAAGGGCUGGCCAUUUCUGCCCCAUGUGGAGUACUCUGGUGAGCAUUGUUCACCCCAGGGUGCCCUGUUGGGUUGGUUGUGGCUAUCCUGUGUCACAGUUCAACUUCUCCCUCUGCCUGAUCCUGCAUCCUCCUCCAUGCUUUCACAGCAAAUAAUCCCACAGAAUCCUGGUGCUGUGAGGUUCAGAAAAAUGCUAAUUCCAGCAGCUUGAAGGCACAGAUACAGCCCUUGGUCAGUCCAGCACCUCAGUCUCGAUCAUGAAUUUUGCACCAAUUUAAUAACUCUACAAAAUUAGAACAGCUUCCCAGAUUGAAUAAAAAAC
RNAcentral lists this long non-coding RNA (929 nucleotides) under Equus caballus (horse). RNAcentral's name for it is "lncRNA (ENSECAG00000049760.1)". Lineage: Eukaryota; Metazoa; Chordata; Mammalia; Perissodactyla; Equidae. The record is from RNAcentral.